GACGAACGCUGCGGCGAGCCUAAUACCUGCAAGUAGAACGCUGAAACUUUGUGUUUGCACCCAGAGGAUGAGUUGAGAACGGGUGAGCAACGCGUAGGUAACCUGCCAGGUCGCGGGGGAUCACCUAUGGCAACGAUAGCUAAUACGGCAUAAGAGUAGUCGUUGCAAGACAUUUGCUUAAAAGGUUCAAUUGCACCACUACGCGAUAGCCUUCCGUUGCAUUAGUUAGUUGGUGGGGUAACGGCUCACCCAGUCGACGAUACAAAGCCAAACUGAGCGGGUGAUCAGCCGCACGUGGACUGGGACGCGGCCCAGACUUCUGCGUGAGGCAGCGGUAGGGAUUCUUCGGCAAGGGACGGAAGUCAGACCGAGCAAAGCCGCGUGAGUGAAGAAGGUUUUCGGAUCGUAGAGCUCUGUGGUAAGAGGAGAACGAAUGUGAGAGUGGAAAGUUCACGCUGUGACGGUAUCUUACCAGAAAGGGACGGCUAACUACGUG
This 496-nucleotide ribosomal RNA is filed under the name uncultured bacterium. RNAcentral describes it as "partial 16S ribosomal RNA". It matches the Rfam family "Bacterial small subunit ribosomal RNA", at positions 28 to 507 of the family's 1533-position model. The record is from RNAcentral.